UCCCGGAUCGUCCAACUGGCAGGACGCGCCGCUCUGGACGGCGAAAUCGUCAGGUUCGAAUCCUCGUUCGGGAG
Molecule: transfer RNA, 74 nt
Filed under: Micromonospora pisi
Lineage: Bacteria; Bacillati; Actinomycetota; Actinomycetes; Micromonosporales; Micromonosporaceae
Description: tRNA-Gln
Rfam family: tRNA
About the family: Transfer RNA (tRNA) molecules are approximately 80 nucleotides in length.
Source: RNAcentral